This 205-nucleotide long non-coding RNA is filed under the name Nicotiana benthamiana. RNAcentral's name for it is "long non-coding RNA (NBEN_LNC014774)". The record is from RNAcentral. Lineage: Eukaryota; Viridiplantae; Streptophyta; Magnoliopsida; Solanales; Solanaceae.
CUAGUAUCAGGGUUGUAGGAUAGGGGCCCUUAGAGUUUUUCGUACUACUCACCCGGGGUUGGGUGAGGCUUGGAAGGGCUAUCCAUAGAUGAUUUGUGUUUUGGAUUGUGUCUCCCUUAUGGUAGUUACUGUAUGAUAUUAUUGCAUGUUGUUUUAUUUAUGGUUCUUAUGUUUAGAUAAUUAUUUACGCUAUUUCUGUUGGACU